This 211-nucleotide unclassified non-coding RNA is filed under the name plant metagenome. RNAcentral's name for it is "partial contains small subunit ribosomal RNA, internal transcribed spacer 1, and 5.8S ribosomal RNA". The record is from RNAcentral.
UUUCCGUAGGUGAACCUGCGGAAGGAUCAUUCAUAAUAAAGUGUUUUAUAGCACUUUUUGAAAGUCAAUAUCCACCUUGUGUGCAAUGUUAGAUCUCGUCAAUCUUGGCGAGAUUUUUAUACAUCAACUCAUUCUUUAACUAAUUUGUCUGAAAAAUAUUAUGAAUACUUAAUUCAAAAUACAACUUUCAACAACGGAUCUCUUGGCUCUC